Molecule: unclassified non-coding RNA, 387 nt
Filed under: uncultured Verrucomicrobiae bacterium
Lineage: Bacteria; Pseudomonadati; Verrucomicrobiota; Verrucomicrobiia
Description: contains 16S-23S intergenic spacer region
Source: RNAcentral
UCCUCGUUUAAGCGAGGCAGUCUGUCCAGAGUGCUCACAACUCUCGUUGUGGUGGCAACAGAACAUAAGGGUUGCGCUCGUUGCGGGACUUAACCCAACAUCUCACGACACGAGCUGACGACAGCCAUGCAGCACCUGUGUAUGCUUCCCUUGCGGGAUCGUUAGACUUUCAUCCUUCUACUACAUACAUGUCAAGGCCAGGUAAGGUUCUUCGCGUUGCAUCGAAUUAAGCCACAUACUCCACCGCUUGUGCAGGCCCCCGUCAAUUUCUUUGAGUUUUAAUCUUGCGACCGUACUUCCCAGGCGGCAUAUUUAUCGCGUUAGCUACGCCACAAAAGGGGUCGAUUCCUUUUACAGCAAAUAUGCACCGUUUACGGCUAGGACUAC